Molecule: ribosomal RNA, 1456 nt
Filed under: uncultured bacterium
Lineage: Bacteria
Description: bacterial SSU rRNA
Rfam family: Bacterial small subunit ribosomal RNA
Source: RNAcentral
AUUAGAGUUUGAUCCUGGCUCAGGAUGAACGCUGGCGGUAUGCUUAACACAUGCAAGUCGAACGGAGUACUUCGGUACUUAGUGGCGGACGGGUGAGUAACGCGUGAGAAUCUGCCUUCAGGUUCGGGACAACCACUGGAAACGGUGGCUAAUACCGAAUGUGCAGCAAUGUGAAAUAUUAAUAGCCUGAAGAUGAGCUCGCGUCUGAUUAGCUAGUAGGUGUGGUAAGAGCGCACCUAGGCGACGAUCAGUAGCUGGUCUGAGAGGAUGAUCAGCCACACUGGGACUGAGACACGGCCCAGACUCCUACGGGAGGCAGCAGUGGGGAAUUUUCCGCAAUGGGCGAAAGCCUGACGGAGCAAUACCGCGUGAGGGAGGAAGGCUCUUGGGUUGUAAACCUCUUUUCUUAGGGAAGAAAAAAAUGACGGUACCUAAGGAAUCAGCAUCGGCUAACUCCGUGCCAGCAGCCGCGGUAAUACGGAGGAUGCAAGCGUUAUCCGGAAUGAUUGGGCGUAAAGCGUCCGUAGGUGGUUAGUCAAGUCUGCUGUUAAAGAGCAAAGCUCAACUUUGUCAUGGCGGUGGAAACUGAUUGACUGGAGUGCGGAAGGGGCAGAGGGAAUUCCUGGUGUAGCGGUGAAAUGCGUAGAGAUCAGGAAGAACACCGGUGGCGAAAGCGCUCUGCUAGGCCGCAACUGACGCUGAGGGACGAAAGCUAGGGGAGCGAAUGGGAUUAGAUACCCCAGUAGUCCUAGCCGUAAACGAUGGAUACUAGGCGUUGCUUGUAUCGACCCGAGCAGUGCCGUAGCUAACGCGUUAAGUAUCCCGCCUGGGGAGUACGCAGGCAACUGUGAAACUCAAAGGAAUUGACGGGGGCCCGCACAAGCGGUGGAGUAUGUGGUUUAAUUCGAUGCAACGCGAAGAACCUUACCAGGACUUGACAUGUCGCGAAUCCUGCCGAAAGGUGGGAGUGCCUUCGGGAGCGCGAACACAGGUGGUGCAUGGCUGUCGUCAGCUCGCGUCGUGAGAUGUUGGGCUAAGUCCCGCAACGAGCGCAACCCUCGUUCUUAGUUGCCAUCAUUAAGUUGGGAACUCUAAGGAGACUGCCGGUGACAAACCGGAGGAAGGUGGGGAUGACGUCAAGUCAGCAUGCCCCUUACGUCCUGGGCUACACACGUACUACAAUGCGACGGACAAAGGGCAGCUAGCAAGCGAUUGUCGGCAAAUCCCACAAACCGUCGCUCAGUUCAGAUCGCAGGCUGCAACUCGCCUGCGUGAAGGCGGAAUCGCUAGUAAUUGCAGGUCAGCAUACUGCAGUGAAUUCGUUCCCGGGCCUUGUACACACCGCCCGUCACACCAUGGAAGCUGGUAGUGCCCGAAGUCGUUAUCCCAACCUCAGGGAGGGAGACGCCGAAGGCAGGACUGGUGACUGGGGUGAAGUCGUAACAAGGUAACCAAU